This 301-nucleotide ribosomal RNA is filed under the name uncultured bacterium. Its description in RNAcentral is "partial 16S ribosomal RNA". It matches the Rfam family "Bacterial small subunit ribosomal RNA", at positions 509 to 807 of the family's 1533-position model. The record is from RNAcentral.
CAGCCGCCGCGGGAAUACAGAGGGUGCAAGCGUUAAUCGGAAUUACUGGGCGUAAAGCGCGCGUAGGUGGUUUGUUAAGUUGGAUGUGAAAUACCCGGGCUCAACCUGGGAACUGCAUCCAAAACUGGCAAGCUAGAGUAUGGUAGAGGGUGGUGGAAUUUCCUGUGUAGCGGUGAAAUGCGUAGAUAUAGGAAGGAACACCAGUGGCGAAGGCGACCACCUGGACUGAUACUGACACUGAGGUGCGAAAGCGUGGGGAGCAAACAGGAUUAGAUACCCCAGUAGUCCCUGUCUCUUAUAC